UCACCCCUCAAGCCCGGCUUGUUGUUGGACCACGCCCCGCCUCGCGGCGGGACGGGCCCCAAAGAUAAUGACGGCGUCUGUGAGGACUCCAGUACACUGAGCUUUCGGGCACGUACUCGGCUAGAAAUUCAGACCCGUCCAACCCUUUUCGCCUCCGCAAGGAGUCGAAAUACCACCAA
This 179-nucleotide unclassified non-coding RNA is filed under the name uncultured Ascomycota. RNAcentral describes it as "sequence contains ITS2". Lineage: Eukaryota; Fungi; Ascomycota. The record is from RNAcentral.